This 77-nucleotide transfer RNA is filed under the name bacterium. RNAcentral describes it as "tRNA-His". It matches the Rfam family "tRNA". Rfam says of the family: Transfer RNA (tRNA) molecules are approximately 80 nucleotides in length. Their secondary structure includes four short double-helical elements and three loops (D, anti-codon, and T loops). Further hydrogen bonds mediate the characteristic L-shaped molecular structure. tRNAs have two regions of fundamental functional importance: the anti-codon, which is responsible for specific mRNA codon recognition, and the 3' end, to which the tRNAs corresponding amino acid is attached (by aminoacyl-tRNA synthetases). tRNAs cope with the degeneracy of the genetic code in two manners: having more than one tRNA (with a specific anti-codon) for a particular amino acid; and 'wobble' base-pairing, i.e. permitting non-standard base-pairing at the 3rd anti-codon position. RNAcentral also lists the same sequence under 3 other names. The record is from RNAcentral.
GUGGGCGUAGCUCAGUUGGUUAGAGCGUCGGUUUGUGGUACCGAAGGUCGGGGGUUCGAGACCCCUCGUCCACCCCA